Molecule: long non-coding RNA, 1470 nt
Organism: Lingula anatina
Lineage: Eukaryota; Metazoa; Brachiopoda; Lingulata; Lingulida; Lingulidae
Source: RefSeq, a predicted model, not a curated record
UAACCAAGUACACGCAACCGCAAAUGAAAACGACAAAGAGAAUUUGUGCCCGGGUUCAGUUACACGAAAUAUCAGCCACACUGUGGAGACUGAGCUUUUCGCGGAGAUGGUUGCAGAGAUCACUACCAUGUCUCUUAACUCGGGGCAAAACACCGCCAGGGAUGAGAUGCAGACAGGCAAAAACGAGAAUGAACAAGAAUUCACCCUCGCAGAGAAAAGUCUCCAGCUCCUACUUCUUCAACAAUACCAAGAUUUAUUGGAGUCUAUGAUAAAACAACAACAGCAGCUGGCCAUUGUUGAGGAACAGUUGAUGUGGAUUAUGCAAAACAAAUAAAUAUCUGUGCUCAAAUUGAACGGAUAAACAGAAAAUAAACGAUCUCUCCUUGAACUUUCAUUAUCCCAGUAUCAUUACUAUUCAAUUUGACUUCAUUUUCAAAGCUAAGAAAAACGUAUUUAUUUAUUUAUCUAUUUAUUUGUGGGUUGCUGCACUUUUUAUCGUGUCAGUACAUAUAGCCAUCGCCUGUAUCUGUUGUCGCGGCCAGCGUCUUUGCUGUCGUCGCUGUUCACUUUUAUAGAUGACACGAUAGGUGGAAAACUGUUUGACCUGUUGUCUUGAAACUUAUUGAACUGAUGAAUAUUCACAGCUCAUAGGUCGAGUUCCAAAACUCAUCGUGAUUGGACUAUUAUUUCAGCUGGAGUUUGAAAACCAGCCUGAUCGGAUUACCUUUCUGGAAGUUAUGCAGUUUUUUGUGAAAUGUUAAUUUUUCACAUAUUGGCAUUUACUGGGUGGAUUUGGACUUUUGUGUGCCUGAAUACGUUUGCUGGUCACAUUUUCUGAAUAUCUAUGAUACUUAUAUCAUAAUAUUAAAAAUCGGUGUUAAUUAUGUUAUUCCGUGAUAUUGCAUCAAAAUUAAACCCUAUUUUGGCCACUGGCCACCAUAAUAACCAUUAAAAAAACAUGUUAUUUAUUAUUCUCAAACUUACAGAUAAGAUUAUAAGGAAUGAAAUACAGCUUGAGUUUGAAAACCAGCUUGAUUAGACUAUUUCAUGGAAUUUAUACAUUAAAUUUUCAGCCAAUCACAAAUAAUAAUUUUGCUUUCAAAUUUCGUGCCUCCCUUUUGUUAAACUUAGCUUAAGUCAAGUACCUAACCGAUUCAUUCAACUGACGUCCCUGGUGGCUAUAUUUGUGGUUGACGCGGUAUUUGGCGCUUUUUCAUAUUUAUGAAAUGAGGACAUUCUUAUAUGUAAAAGGUAAUGGGGACCUUUUAAAUGCUGCACUUAUCCAAGGUUAUUAUUUUUAAAACUUAAUUUAUUCGUUUUUCUAAAAAAGUAAUUUCAAAGACUCUUUUGUUAUUAUCUUAUAAUUAUGUAAAGUAGAUUUUUCAUGUAUCAAAUGUAGAAGUUCUUAUAGCCUUCAAGGGCCCGUUGAAAAACUACGAGACAUUAUCAGGCCUACCCAACUACCAGACU